RNAcentral lists this long non-coding RNA (1316 nucleotides) under Cyanistes caeruleus (blue tit). RNAcentral's name for it is "lncRNA (ENSCCEG00000017326.1)". The record is from RNAcentral. Lineage: Eukaryota; Metazoa; Chordata; Aves; Passeriformes; Paridae.
UUAAAAUACUUACAUUAACAAAUGUUAGCUGAACGCUUUUAGAAGGAAAUAUUUCUGCAAAGGACACCAAAUCAUGACUGCAGCUAAAGCAGGAUGAUUUGGCUUAACAGAGUCUCAUUCCCUUUUCCUGGCAGGGUGUGUGCUGAUGGCUAUAAUUUAAUUCUGGAGCCAAAUCAAGGCAACUCAUCACGAUACAUCUGCUGAGUUUUGAGUAUGCAUGGAGCAGGCAUGUGUGUUUUCCUGAAAGCUUUUCCUAGAAGCUAAAUGCACUGCGAAGAUUUAUACAUCUGUUGUGUCAUCUUUUGACACGGCCGAUGAAAGCCAAGGCAUAGCCCCAUGCAGGAAUUUUGGUUGGGGGAUAGGUACUGGCAGAAAGGAAGAGAAAAUAUUGAGAACUUCCAUGGCAAAUUAUGAAGCAAUAUUUGGCAGAUAGCAAUUUCCAGUCACAAAUAUAUUUGUCUUUAAAAUGGCUUGAAGAUUGUUCUUUUUCUCUACUGACUAACUGCAUUCUUUGUAUAAUGAAAAUAGUGGAUGAAUGAGUGGCAUGUGUGAGUUCGUGAAUCUUUUGAUGUCAACCAACAAUGCAGAUAUGCAAGUAUUUCCUUUUAUUUGGGGUGUUUGUUGAGGGUUUUUUUGAUUAUUUGUGAUGAUAACAUCAGUUUGGAACUGACCUAGACAACAGCAAGAGAAGGACAUUAUAAUGUCCAGCCUAUCAUUACCUGCUGAUUGCUUUUCUCCACAAUGAGGAAGCUCAUUAAAACAUCAGCUUCAGGCUAUCUCAGCAGGAAUUAGGAAUGGUAAUUAGACACAGCCAUGUGUUUUCAGUUUAAAGAAUUCAAUAUUUGAAAAUGUAGGGUCACAAAACGAGGCGAAGGCAACCAUUUCUAAAAACGCAAUGUCCUACAGAGGAAGGAAGUCACACCUGUUACCAAGUCCAGCCGUGAUGCCCUGGAGAAGUUAUGCUUUGUGGAAGCUGUGUGAGGAGGACCUGCUGAAUACACAAUUUCCUCCAAGAUUAAGUACACCUUUUCCUGUGGAUCUGAAGCAGAGAACAUGCAGUGAAGAAAAGGCAAGUCUCUAAUUUCAUGUUGAAAUGUCAAGCUACUCUGGAGCUGGGCUUUUUUCUUUGCUUUCCUGUUCUCACAUACUUUGUUCACUUCACAUUUUUCCUUCUUAGGAAAGCAGGUGAGUCCCCAGAAGUGUGUGUAGACUUUUUAGUUCCAUUUUGGACCACUGCAGUCAUUUGAAACAUCAGUGGACUUAAAGAACCAUCUUCUUCAACCACGAGUCAAAUGUCAGCUACACAAAUAAGAAAU